AUUGAACGCUGGCGGCAUGCCUUACACAUGCAAGUCGAACGGUAACGGGCCUUCGGGUGCCGACGAGUGGCGAACGGGUGAGUAAUGCAUCGGAACGUACCUUUCAGUGGGGGAUAACGUAGCGAAAGUUACGCUAAUACCGCAUAUUCUGUGAGCAGGAAAGCAGGGGAUCGCAAGACCUUGCGCUGGAUUGAGCGGCCGAUGUCAGAUUAGCUAGUUGGUGAGGUAAAGGCUCACCAAGGCGACGAUCUGUAGCGGGUCUGAGAGGAUGAUCCGCCACACUGGAACUGAGACACGGUCAGACUCCUACGGGAGGCAGCAGUGGGAAUUUGGACAAUGGGGCAACCUGAUCCAGCCAUGCCGUUACGGUAACGUUACGGUAACGGUAACGGUCCGUUACGGGUUACGUAAACGGUACGUACGUUUCCGGUACCGGUAACGGUAACGUACGUACGUACGUACGGUUAACGUACCGUACGUACGUACGGUACGUACGUACGGUACCGGUACGUACGUAACGUAACGGUACGUACCGGUACGUAACCGUACGGUACGUACCGUACGUACCGUACGUACCC
RNAcentral lists this ribosomal RNA (578 nucleotides) under uncultured bacterium. Its description in RNAcentral is "bacterial SSU rRNA". It matches the Rfam family "Bacterial small subunit ribosomal RNA", at positions 30 to 536 of the family's 1533-position model. The record is from RNAcentral.